GACGAACGCUGGCGGCGUGCCUAAUACAUGCAAGUUGAGCGCUGAAGGUUGGUACUUGUACCCACUGGAUGAGCAGCGAACGGGUGAGUAACGCGUGGGGAAUCUGCCUUUGAGCGGGGGACAACAUUUGGAAACGAAUGCUAAUACCGCAUAAAAACUUUAAACACAAGUUUUAAGUUUGAAAGAUGCAAUUGCAUCACUCAAAGAUGAUCCCGCGUUGUAUCAGCUAGUUGGUGAGGUAAAGGCUCACCAAGGCGAUGAUACAUAGCCGACCUGAGAGGGUGAUCGGCCACAUUGGGACUGAGACACGGCCCAAACUCCUACGGGAGGCAGCAGUAGGGAAUCUUCGGCAAUGGACGAAAGUCUGACCGAGCAACGCCGCGUGAGUGAAGAAGGUUUUCGGAUCGUAAAACUCUGUUGGUAGAGAAGAACGUUGGUGAGAGUGGAAAGCUCAUCAAGUGACGGUAACUACCCAGAAAGGGACGGCUAACUACGUG
RNAcentral lists this ribosomal RNA (497 nucleotides) under uncultured bacterium. Its description in RNAcentral is "partial 16S ribosomal RNA". It matches the Rfam family "Bacterial small subunit ribosomal RNA", at positions 28 to 507 of the family's 1533-position model. The record is from RNAcentral.